ACUUCUACUUUAACAUUUCUAAACUAUCCCUACUUCCUUUCUUCAUCUACUUCAAACUUCGAAUCAAACUACAACUACCCCCACUUUCUCCCCCACCUCCUAAAUAAACAGGAAAGAAGUCCAUAAUCAAAACUAACCCCGUCUAUCUCUUACUGCUCAACAUCUUCUUCGUGAAUCAAUUUAUCCCCAAAAGUUGAAUCCUCAAUUAAUACUCAAGUGCGUUACAAGGAAUUUUCUUUAAAAGAGCUCUCUUAGCGGUAAGCAUUAUAUGGUGUUCGUUUUUGGUUUUUAUGUUUAUCUCACGCACGGUAACGUUGAGGCUAAGAUUUAGGUAAGCAUUCUUCACUUUUUCAAUUUUAUUUUAAUACCCAACGUCAUUGUUUUCGUUGUAAAACAAUUGAAUUCCUCAAAGAGUAACGCUGAGGCUAAGAUUCAUGUAACUAUUCUUCUCUUUUUACUUUAUUUCUUUUUCGUUUUCCUUUUAGUUUGCUGUUUUAAUUUUGUUAUUUUCAGUUACAGGGCAUUAUAUGUAGAGGGAGGAUCCCUUGACGGGCCCUUAUUUGACAAGGCAUUACAGUCCCUCUUAUAUGUAUCCUCUUUCCAAAGAUUGUACAUGAGAGAUAUCAAGAAACUCCUAAAAAGACGUUGCAGAUGGGUCUGAAAUAUGGGUGUCCAGUGAAAGAUGCGAUGACAGGAUUAGCAGUACAAUGUAGGGGAUGGAACUCGAUUGAUGGUGAAUUGCAUUUGCUUAUGGCUAUAGAGAGCUUGCGGCAAGGUGGAUUGGCAUCCAUCUACUUAAUCUUUGCAGCUUCAUAAGCACCUGCCACUGUGUAUAUGAAUACUAAUCCACAUUUGGAUACAAAACAAGAAAGAAUAAGAGAACAAAUCGUAGGAAAACAAGUUGUCAUGCUCCCAUGUUUCCUCCACCAAUAAAUCGAGUUUAGUCAACGUUAAUAUUGUGGAAGAGGUUGGGGAUGCGACAUUGGUUAUGUAUGCAGUUUUGGUCAUGAUUCAUCUGCAUUCCUAUAACUUAGGAUGCUAUUAGAGCAGAUCCAAUGAUAACGUUGCAAGUAAGCAACGGUUGUUGGGCAAUUCAGUGACACCAUUAUUUGACCUACUAAUCACACCAAUUUCGAGUAAAAAAAGAUCAGUCCAAGAGCUCCUCGAAGGAUUCUUUUGCCAGUUUAUCAGAAGUGUUCCGAGGACAAAGAUCCACAUUAUAAAGCCCUUGGAUGUAAUAUCAUUGGGACAACGGCGUUUUGGUGGAAGACAACUUAUUUGGAAAAUAUCACCCAUUUACUAUCUGCACCUCAUUGUUCGAAUUUUUUGUAAUAUUAUGAAACAACUGUUGCAGUCCAUUUAAACUAAUAGUAAUGUCACCCCUGAUAAUACCCAAAUGUUAUUUGAAAACUCCACUUUAUCAUAUGGCUCAUGAGUCCUU
Long non-coding RNA from Papaver somniferum (opium poppy), 1441 nucleotides. RefSeq lists it as uncharacterized. Lineage: Eukaryota; Viridiplantae; Streptophyta; Magnoliopsida; Ranunculales; Papaveraceae. The record is from RefSeq and is a predicted model, not a curated record. The transcript is spliced from 6 exons.